RNAcentral lists this ribosomal RNA (251 nucleotides) under uncultured prokaryote. RNAcentral's name for it is "partial 16S rRNA". It matches the Rfam family "Bacterial small subunit ribosomal RNA", at positions 525 to 775 of the family's 1533-position model. The record is from RNAcentral.
ACAGAGAUGGCGAGCGUUACUCGGAUUUAUUGGGUGUAAAGGGCAGGUAGGUGUUUUGCCAAGUUGUAAGUGAAAUCCUAAGGCUCAACCUUAGAACUGCUUACAAAACUGGCGAAAUUGAGAUUGGUAGAGGAAAGCGGAAUUCCCGGUGUGCUGGUGGAAUCACUAAUUAUCAAAAGAAGCACCAAAGGCGAAGGCGGCAAUCUGGAUUAACUCUCACACUAAGCCGCCAAAGCUCGGUGAGUAAUCAG